GGAGGGGUGGGAAUCCUCUUUUUCCUGGGGGGAAAAAAAAAAGCAAUUUUUUAUUGUUAAUUGACGAAGAAAGCGGCUGGAGCAGAGGGGGUUGAUCUCGCGCCAUGGAGCUCAGUGGCUUGGUACAGGACUCUGCAAAGGAGCACCCUUCUGGGGACACUGGGGAUGUACCCCUCGGGCCACCCCAAGCACAUGAGCUUGGAUGUAAAAAGAAGCCAGAUAGAUUCGAGCUGAGGAUGUUGAAGUAUUAGACAAAGCGGUUCCUGUUCCUCCUGAAGUAGGCUUGUGAAGACUCAGCUGCUGAUGAGAGAGCUGGAUUCGAACUGCUCCAGGGUGGCUGCCCCAGGAUGGCAGAUGAUACAGAGCACUUCUGUACCUCUGCGUCUGUUACUUGGUCACAGGGACUAGUUUUGAACCAGCAGCACCAAACAAUCCAGAAGGGCUGUGUCUGGUAGGGUAUCUAGACCCAUGCCUGUUGCACAAGGGCAACACUGAGAAUUAGAGGAGAAAUCGGUACGUAUCCGUCCAGCAGCAGCUAGAAAGGAGGUCCAGGUCUUCACAGGCACAGUACCUAUCACUUCCAUCCAAGGGCGACGUGUAGGGGAUGCGCACAGGUGCAUGUGCACCCCCUGAGUGUGGCAGUCCACUCCCUACAAAAAGAUGUUCGCAGCACCUGCAGGUGGUCACUGCUCACCACCCUACCACCAGCGGCAUCUGCAGGCGGUCCACAAUCCCUGGUAGUCGCUGCCGACGACAGCAGUGAGUGGUCGCUGACCCUUGGUUGGUGCUCAUCAGCAUUGGCGGCAUCUGUGGGACCUCCCUGCUUACUGCUGCCAUGCUCCUGCCACAGCCAUGCUCGCCCAGACACUGGGGCACAAGUCACUCAUGCUUCCAUCUCCCCCAAAUGGGCACUUCCUUAUGCCCCCCACCCCCAAUGCCAUUUUGUGUUAAUAAACCUGAUGGCAGCCCUAAAUAGCAUUGCUUCACCUCCUGAUACCCUCUGAAUAUUUUGAGUGUAUUGCAUUCAUCUGUGUCUGAAAGUCUGAAGUAUAAAAGCUCUGGCUGAAAGAUACAAGUAUUAACAUGUAAACGCCUUUAAUCCUAAAGCAGAGGUCUGAGUUGGACAGCAUGGUAGAAGUCAGACAUGGGAAGACAGGGGCUCUAAUACUGCAGCACCAACCCGACUUGAAAGUGGGUGCGCAGGGGAACUGCCCCAGUGAAACAGGAAAAGCUAGAACCUGCUGGUCUAACUUAGGGGAGGAGGCCAGGAUGCCCCUGGCUUUUUCCUGUUUCUUUCAGACUACAUCAUAAUGCAUCAU
Long non-coding RNA from Alligator sinensis (Chinese alligator), 1319 nucleotides. RefSeq lists it as uncharacterized. The record is from RefSeq and is a predicted model, not a curated record. The transcript is spliced from 3 exons. Lineage: Eukaryota; Metazoa; Chordata; Crocodylia; Alligatoridae.